This 4585-nucleotide long non-coding RNA is filed under the name Paramuricea clavata. Lineage: Eukaryota; Metazoa; Cnidaria; Anthozoa; Malacalcyonacea; Plexauridae. The record is from RNAcentral.
GCUGAGUGGAUCAAAAUUGAAAUGUGUGUCGCUGGAAAACCACUAUACCCCUGCACAUUGGAUACUCAAAUUGUAAAGCGAAUUCAAAGAUAAAAAUGUUCAAUUCUCAACUUCAAGAGAAAGCCUGGUCUAAGGUAUGUUCUUUCUAUUUUAUGUAAAAUAUUUGGAAAACAGGCAUUUUCUUAAAACAAUCCAGAUUUUGAAAAAUAAUUUGAAAGAAAGACCACAGCCCACAUGCAAUAAUUGGACAAAUUGCCUCUUUCCGAGCAAAAAUAUUUAAUUUUUGGAUUGUUUCACAUUAAGGAGUGUUCAUUAUUUAUGGUUGGGUGGUGGGGGGGAUCAUAGGGGGAGGGGGAGUGUUUGUUUUUGGGGGUCACCAAAGUUUGAGGAGUAAUUGAGAGGGGGUCAUGAAAGUUUUAGUUCUGGCAAUGUUUUGACCUUAAAAUAUGUUAUUAUAGAACAUGAAAAUUUUGAAUUAUUACAUGGCUACAAGUUUACAGUGCGUCUAUUGUAAGUGGGGCCACUAGCGCCACUUAGAUAACACUAACCAAUCACAUUGCAGAACAAAAAUAGAAAUCUAAUAAACUAAAGCUUGUCCAAUCGAAAGAAAGCAUGGAGUUCGCUUCAGGAAGCCAGUAACUGCAAUGUUUAAUUUUGAAGUCUAUUUUUACCUUUUGACAUUUGUUCAAAUUGUUUUUGGCCUAAUGCUGAUUGGCUAAUGUGCCGUUUGUUGAUUAUUUCUAUUUUUGUUCUGUAAUGUGAUUGGUUAGUGUUCUCUAAGUGGCCCCACUUACUGUAGAUGCACUGUAAUAGGCCCUUUCAAGGUUAAUUAAAUACAAUAGUGCAAGAGGUGUACUGUUUGUUUUUGGGUGUACUAUUUGUCUGUGUUGGGUGGCUGGGAGUGUUAGCAGGUAUGUUGGGAUAUCUAUGGGUUAACUGGCCUAUCUGCCCAUGUGUCUAGUUAAUGAGUUAAUCAAUUAAUCUUAUUCAUCUUAGACAACAGCAAUUGAACUAUGUGACAGGAACUGUUACCAAUGACUACAAGCCAUUAUCGAGUCUAUCUUUGGACAACCAAAAACAUUUCUCCAACAUGUUGUCAUUCUUGGACGUGUUAGUUCAUUUGGAUUUGCAGAUGAAGUCCUUAAAAGGUCAAUUUAAUUAGUUUGUAUCAUAUUAACUAAUGACUAUUAUACUGUACAAAUGAUAUGAAAAUUUUCCUCCAGUGAUCCCCCUUUGGCACUGUGCCCCCCCUCCUCCUGCCUCUAUGUUUUCCAAGUCAGCUUCCAAAAAUAAAGAAAUAUACUCAAAUUGUUGUGGGUAGCCAAAAAAAUUUCUUAAUUAAAUCAAAUUAGGGUUUCUUCAGGGAUUUUUAGGGCUGCCCCAAAAACUCAAUCUUGAAUUGAGUUUUGAAACUUGAUCUUCUGACCAAAAGUUUCAUUGUAGUAAAAAUGAAGUUGCUUGAGUUUAAUACAUUUGUGACAUGUGGAGAUUAGUUUUCACUUUUCAGUUGGAAACCCGACAAUUUCUUAAAAAUUUCCUGUGUCCCUUCACAUUUUACAAAAAAUUUAAAGAAUCCCACCGUGGCCGGGCAUAUUUUUCAAGCUCGCCCGAUGUGGAUAUACACUCAGAGUAACAUCACAAACAUAUUAUUCACCUGAGUACACAACAACCACACAGAAAAAAAUUUAAAGCAUGUUUUUAUCAGUCGAAAGUAAUUGUUUUGAUGAGAGAUGUGUUUCUUGACACUUUUGAACAGGGUUCGUACAAAACUUGAAAGUCCUUGAAUGUCCUUGAAUUUGAAAACAAAAAUUCAAGGCCUUGAAUGUCCUGGAAUUUGUAAAGAAGUACUUGAAUGUCCUGGAAUUCUUCUUGCUUUAGUUUAUGGAUACUUUCUGAAAUUGUUUGACAUUCAAGAUGGACAUUUUGUUGAACUGAUUUUGCAUGUUCGUAUCUCACCUCAUUAUAAAGUUACGGUUUGAACAAUUCAACGUCAGGUUUUGCUGAUUUCUAACGCCUUCUUCUUCAGUAUUUAGUCCUUGAAUUUGCUCAUACAUGGCCUUGAAUGUCGGAUUUUACUACAUCCCGGGCGUUCUUUGUCAGUGCCCGCGAUCACAAUUAGAAUUACCAGCGGUUGAGUUCGCAACUCAAUAUUCAAACAUUUUCAACCAGAUAAAAAAAGAUUAAAACUUUUUUAAAGCACUUUAAAUUUUAUACCGAUCCCAAACACUAACCGGCCUAACUUUUAAGAGUUAAAAAAGGAAGGAAGAAAAAAAUUACAAAAAAUUGAGAAAAAGAGCUAAAUCAGAUAAUAAAUGUUCGGCAUCGAUCCCGACCCCGACUGCGUUUCACUUUCGGUACGCAACGCCUUUACCACUUGAGCUAACGACAAACUUGGUGAAAAUUACCGCAAACAAAAGUUUUUAUAUUGCUACAAAAUGCGAAAUAACUCCCGUCUGUCCAGUCACUUGGUUAUUUUUUAUUUGAGCUGCUAUAAAUGUUACUAGCUCAUAUAAGAUCUGUGAAACUAGUGCUAAAACAUAAACAGUUUUGUCAAAAAAUUAAAAGGCAAUAUGUUUGGAUCAAAUAAACUGACUAGAAGCAAACUGAUAUCUUGAAAUAUAGAUUAACAUGCUGACAAACUGUUACAGUUUAAUCAGGUUAUAAAUUCACAUCGAGUAUUAUAUAAUUUAUAUUUGGCUUUUAAGAUGUUUUCUUUCAAACAUUGUGAUUUCAGGAAACACUCGAUGUUAUCAUCAUAUACCGCUGAUAAUACUAAUUGUGAUCGCGGGCACUGACAAAGAACGCCCGGGAUGUAGUAAAAUCCUUGAAUGUCCUUGAAAAGUCCUUGAAUUUGACAAUUCCUGACAUGUACGAACCCUGUUUCAAGAAGUUUGAAAUAGUUUGGGGCACUUUUUGAAUUUUUGAGAAAUUUCCUGAGAAAUUUUAAGGCAAUUUGAAUCCUAUUGGCAUACAAAAUUGUUAUUUAGAAUUUACAAUUUCUAUGCUGCAUCCAAUCUAUUGACCAAUCGGGGGAUGCUUUUGUAAAUACCCACGUACCCAAAUAUUCAGAAGUCUUUAUUUUUAUGCUAAAACAGAAACAUCCCAGAGAAUAAAUUAAUAAAAUUAUAUUCAAAUUUAGGGUGUGUUGCAGCUGUAUAUUUUGUCUCUGCCUUGUGUGGUCCUCGCCUGUUUGUGAAAAAAAAAGUACUUUAAAGAUCAAGCUACAACGCUUAAAUAAAGGAAAGCACAAACACCGAAGUUAAAGACAUGAUUAAGGUAUGUUUUAUCAAUUUGAUGUGAAAUGUUGAUAAAUUUCGUGAGUUAAAGUGGUUGAAACUGCUUGUCGAAUUUGACGAUCGCAAGUCGCUUUGUGUUCAACAUUUUGUGGUGGUUUAUAUAGAUACUGAAUUCAGUGGUGUAACAGAGGUAUAUUUGGCAUAUUUGGUGUGGGGGGCCUGUUAACUGUUGUUAUUGUUUGACUGAGAUGUUAUAUUUAUAGCUAUAUUUCCCUCUCUAUAACAAUCACAGCUACAACACAACUAAGGAGCCAAUUAUCUGGAGCACUUUCAACCCAGGGGUUGUUGAAUUUUUUGUGAUUACAUGGAUGAUUUUGACGCCAGGUUUGAUUCCCGGAACUACAAAAAUGGCUCCAUAACCUCCAUUUUGUUUUCUUGUAAUAAAUAGUCACUACCACACAUGCUCGAGCGAGUAACUGAUUAAAAUUUUCAGCCCCAGGUUGAAACAAUUGCAUGACAAAAUUUUCAACUCAGGGCCGAGUUUUCCCUGCUGGCAGUGGUCUCUAUUGGUAGAGACCUCUACCAGCAAAGAGGGUUGAAUUUCAACCCCGGGGUUGAUAAUAAUAUAUGUAAUGUAAUUGUGUGUUUGGUUUUUUUGAAGUUUUGUAUUACAACACAGGGAUGAAAUUUCAAUCCAGUCAACAGAGCUGGGUUCAACCACGGGGUUGAAAAUGCUCCAUGUAAUCGGCUUCUAAUAAGAAUAAGAAUACCGUUUGUUUUAUUUGAGAUGGAAUAACAAAUUCAGUUUAUUAUUUAGCAUUAUUAAUUUUGCAUUUUCCCAUCAAUUCUUAACCUGCAUUUUUACAUCUUCUCAUUUUCUGGGCGACGGGUCAUGGCUGUGUGUGUGGGGGGGGGGGGGGCUUAACUGUCGGCCCCUAAUUUGAAUUAACCCUGCCUAAUACCUCAACGUUUCGUGAAGUUUAGUUCAAAUUAGCAGAGAUGAGUGCAUAAAGUAUUUAGGAUAUUUUGAAGCUAAAUUUGUUUUUAAAAUUGUCAUUUUAGUGAAUACAAGAAAUGUUGAAUAGUCUGCUGCAAGGAGACAUCGGGCAUUGUAAUGAAUGGAUGAUAAUGUGAGUCGCUGGCAAACCUACAGCCCUUACUGCGAUAGGCAGUCAAGUAUUUUUAACCUGCACAUUUUUGUUUUUAUUUCCCCUAUUUUAUUUUAUGUUCAUAAAUAUCAUGACUCAUGACUUUUAAUGUUGGAAGGAGUUGAGAGUCCCCACUCAACUGCAUGCCUUCUGAAUAAUAAUUAUAGACUCCAUUUUACAUGCUACCAUUUUACCUGUGAG